This is a non-coding RNA of Cricetulus griseus (Chinese hamster), 1349 nucleotides long. The record is from RefSeq and is a predicted model, not a curated record. Lineage: Eukaryota; Metazoa; Chordata; Mammalia; Rodentia; Cricetidae.
UGUUGGGGGCUCUGCUGGAUUUCGCGGGUCACAGAGGCUGGAGUCCAGGCCAGCAAAGCAAAGGCAGGCUUCUCCAGAGGUCUGACCUCACUGACUUUUAGUCUCUGAGGCGCCAGUCCCUGGACUGUAGGGGUGACAGUAGAGUCUUCACAGCCAAAUAAAAGCGAUCCAGGGCCUCUGCUUUCCCUGAGGAAACUCCAUCGAAGGAAGAUUGCAAGAGCAGUUUUUUCGCAGUCAACAUUUGCAGAUACUCUGGAAAAUAGGAAGAGAACCCAACCCAACCCAAACUGAAAGUACCAAAAUAUGUGAAAUCCGUACAGCAAAGAUGAUGAGCUUUCUGGGAGGAGAUACUGAAAGAAGAGUAAUUCUGUCCAGGGGGUCACUUCGAGAUCAUCCCUCUCAACUGAUGCUACUGACCUUGGAGAUUAAGGAGAUGUUGAAAGCAGCACUGCAGUCUCAUAAUUUUGGAAGUCUCCCUUGAAAAGUUUCUUCAUGUCCAGAUACAUUUGUGAAACUGCUUCUAGAUGACAAGAUGUUAUACUUCAGUCUUUCCACCUAAUCCCAGCUCUUUGUGAACACAAGAGGAUGGGAGAACAUUCCUCACAGGAUUGGAUACUAUUAACACUGGGAAGUAAGUAGUAUUUUUGUUUUUAUUUGUGUUUUAUUAAAAGUGUUGUGUUUUUGUUUUUUUUGGUUUUGUGCUUUAUCUUCUCUAUAACUUUUAACACAUUCAGUUGAUUAAAUUUGAGCCUGUUUUCAUCUUAUGGUCUUCAAAUAGUUGUCUGUUUGCUUUUUCAUUUGUGUAUGUAUAUAUGUGCAUGUAGUGUGUUAGUAGCUGUGCACAUGUAUGUACAUUAAUGUGCAUGCAGUGUGCAUAUGUGGUGUAUGUAUACAUACACCUUUGUGUGUGUGCAGAGGCCAGAGGAGUAUAUUGGCUGUCAGUAUUCUAUUCUGUCAGUGUCCACAUUAUUCCCCCUGGACAAGGUCUCUCACUUAGCCUGGAACUCACUGAUGCACUAGAUUGGUUGGCCAGAAAGUUUAUGGGAUCUAUAUGUCACCACCUUACAGUGCUGGGCUUAUAGGUGAACUGACAUUUCCAGAUUUUACUUGAAUGGUAGGUAUCUGAAUUGAGUUCCUAAUGUUUGCACAAAAAGUAUUCAUACCCACUGAGAUAUCCCCUCAUCCUUACUUUUAUUUUAAAUUAAAUUCAUUUUAGUUGCUACCUGAAAUCAUAAAAGGUGUAUAUAUUUAUAGACUAUCGACUAUCAAGUGAGGAUGUGAGUUUUUCAUACUUUUUGUAUAAUCUUUUUAUUUUUUGGUUUUUCAAGACAGGGUUUCUCUGUGUAGCU